This 767-nucleotide long non-coding RNA is filed under the name Mus musculus (house mouse). RNAcentral's name for it is "long non-coding RNA chr5:65405750-65406517". Lineage: Eukaryota; Metazoa; Chordata; Mammalia; Rodentia; Muridae. The record is from RNAcentral.
CGGAUCUCCCAGAAACAGAGCAUAGCCCAUGUGAUACAGUUUUCAUUUGACAGUGGUGCCUGCUGCAUCUCCAUGUGCAUCAAAAGCAUUGCUUCUUGCACAGUUAAUCUCCUUGUUGAUCCCCUAGACAUAAAAGGGAAAACUGAAAUCAUUUUAUCCCUAAACAACUUUCUAGUGGUUUUACUAACUUAUUUUUUACUUUUUUUUAAGACUUAUUUACUUAUCUCAUGUAAGUAAGUACAUUGUCACUGUCUUCAGACCAGAAGAAGGCAUCAGAUCCCGUUACAGAUGGUUGUGAGCCACCAUGUGGUUGCUGGGAUUUGAACUCAGGACCUCUGGAAGAUCAGUCAGUGCUCUUAACCACUGAGCCAUCUCUGCAGCCCCUAUUUUUUACUUUUGAUAUGUAGCUCUUGCUUUGGUAAGCUGACUGAGCUCAUUUUGAAAGUAUAGACAUUUUCCAAGGGGUUAAAAACUCAUUUGGAGCUAGGAAUGUACUUCAGUGAUAGAGCUCAUCCAAGCAUGCUUUAGGCGCCAGGUUCAGUUCUCAGCAGCACAGGAAGAGAGUAGGAAAGAAGCCGGGUAGUCAGGCUGCGGGGCCAGCAUUUGGGAGGAUGAAGAGGAAGCUGUUCCUCCCGUUCGUUAACUAGGGUCAUCCAUUGGGAUUGGUAAACUAGGUGUUUAGGAUAUGUACAAAAUAUGUUAAUUUAUUAAUGGUCAUCUAAGGGAUUUCUGUGUGCACUGAGAUCUGAAUCACAGAUACAAGUUAG